AGCAGCCGCGGUAAUUCCAGCUCCAAUAGCGUAUAUUAAAGUUGUUGCAGUUAAAAAGCUCGUAGUUGAAUUUCGGGAUCAAUAUAUCGGUCGUGCCUUGGUACGUGCUGGUAUCAUUGGUUUCUCCUUUCUGACGAACCAUGAUGUCAUUAAUUUGGUGUUAUGGGAAGUUAGGACUGUUACUUUGAAAAAAUUAGAGUGUUUAAAGCAGGCUUUAGCUUGAAUACAUUAGCAUGGAAUAAUGAAAUAGGACGUUCGAACCUAUUUUGUUGGUUUCUAGGAUCAACGUAAUGAUUAAUAGGGAUAGUUGGGGGCAUUAGUAUUCAAUUGUCAGAGGUGAAAUUCUUGGAUUUAUUGAAGACUAACUACUGCGAAAGCAUUUGCCAAGGAUGUUUUCAUUAAUCAAGAACGAAAGUUAGGGGAUCGAAGACGAUCAGAUACCGUCGUAGUCUUAACCAUAAACUAUGCCGACUAGGGAUCGGAUGAUGUUAAUUUUUUAAUGACUCAUUCGGCGCCUUAC
Molecule: ribosomal RNA, 520 nt
Filed under: uncultured Glomus
Lineage: Eukaryota; Fungi; Glomeromycota; Glomeromycetes; Glomerales; Glomeraceae
Description: SSU rRNA
Rfam family: Eukaryotic small subunit ribosomal RNA
Source: RNAcentral